AAGCACCUUACAAGUGUCCCCUUGGGGUGUGCCAUGGCAGUGCCCUGCCUUUGCACCCCAACCCAUCCAGCGUUUGCAUUUCCUGGGCUCUUUGAUGCUCUGGUGAGCACGGGGAGGUCAGACGUGGUGUGCAGGCCAUGGGCUUCCAGGUGAAACCCAAACUGAGGUCCCCGUGCAGUUGGGGUGCAUGUGAGAGUGCUCUGUUCCAGCUGUGCUGAGCAGGGAGGCACCGCAGGAGCCGUGGGCUCACUCCCGUGGCAGGCGCUUGUCUCUUUCUCCCUGGCCGGGUACUCUCAGCUGGGAUUUAUUUCUGCCAGGAGCUGAUGGCAGCUGCUUCACACGCUGAAAGGUGGAUAUCCAUCAUCUGCUCUGGCCAGCUGCUCUGCUGCUCGUGCCACGCAGAUUCACAGUUUGGGGUGAGAUCCGUCUGGUGGUAUGAUAGCCAGGCUGGGAGCUAGGAAAAGCUUAGCGAGAGGUCAGCGGUGGAGAUGGAUUUUGCUCUGGUAUUUCUCUGCUGGCCAGCUCGGGAGAUGAGCCUGCGUGGCUGCAGGCACUGCCCGCUGCAUCCCUGCUGGCUUGUAGAGUGCCCACAGGAGGGCUGGAGAGCUGCAGGAAGGGAGCAGGCUCUUGGAAGGGCAAAGUCAGACUGGGCUCUGUCCUUGCCUCAUCGCUCCUGUUUCAUCUGAUGGAUCUGCACAGUCAAAGCCGUGAUCCUGAGCUGGCAGAGGAGGAGCAUCCAGGCUGCGGGGGCCGCCAAAGCAGCUGCUGCCCUCCCUCCCUGCUGCCUGUGG
Molecule: long non-coding RNA, 791 nt
Organism: Oxyura jamaicensis (ruddy duck)
Lineage: Eukaryota; Metazoa; Chordata; Aves; Anseriformes; Anatidae
Exons: 3
Source: RefSeq, a predicted model, not a curated record